GGGGAAUAUUGCACAAUGGAGGAAACUCUGAUGCAGCAACGCCGCGUGAGUGAUGAAGGUCUUCGGAUUGUAAAGCUCUGUCUUCUGGGACGAUAAUGACGGUACCAGAGGAGGAAGCCACGGCUAACUACGUGCCAGCAGCCGCGGUAAUACGUAGGUGGCAAGCGUUGUCCGGAUUCACUGGGCGUAAAGGAUGUGUAGGCGGAUAUUUAAGUGAGAUGUGAAAUCCCCGGGCUUAACUUGGGGGCUGCAUUUCAAACUGGAUGUCUAGAGUGCAGGAGAGGAAAGCAGAAUUCCUAGUGUAGCGGUGAAAUGCGUAGAGAUUAGGAAGAAUACCAGUGGCGAAGGCGGCUUUCUGGACGAUAGCUGACGCUGAGGCGCGAAAGCGUGGGGAGCAAAC
RNAcentral lists this ribosomal RNA (400 nucleotides) under uncultured bacterium. Its description in RNAcentral is "bacterial SSU rRNA". It matches the Rfam family "Bacterial small subunit ribosomal RNA", at positions 356 to 773 of the family's 1533-position model. The record is from RNAcentral.